GAGGAGAAUGCACAGGAGCUGACGACCACUGGUGUCACUACGACAAUUUGGCAUUUUCAUCUGGAGUCCAUUUAAUUUGGAAGAGGUGACGGGAGGAGACUGUGCUAUAAUGUCAAAAGCAUCGCCAGGAGGAACAGUAGGAUUGCCAAAAGGCGGCUGGAUAUCCUUGGUGUCUGGGCCGCGUUCUCGCCGCGGGAUGGCUCGGCUGACUCAUGCUGAAGAUGGGCACACAAACUAUCGGCGUGGAUGCAAAUUUUCCUCUCAAUAAAUGGAGUAACUGAGGUGCUCAGCGAGGGCUGUCCAUGCUCUAGGCCCAUGCCGCACAAGACGGGGGAAUGAAUGUUGCAGAACCUUGAGAGGAAAGCUUUUUGUUUGUCAUGCAAUGGAAUUUACCUGGGGAAAAAAAGAUGACUGGAAAGCUCUGCCUACAUUCUGCAUCCGUGCAUCAAAAAGAUCUAAUUCAGGGUGAAACCAAUGCAUGCACUUGUUUCUCAUGCCAAUGGGCCAAAACACGUCCAAGGGACAUCCCCACAAUGUGCUGCUGCCGAGACACACGUGCUGACAGGUAGCUAGUCUGGCUGCCUCUUCGGAGAUAAUUGAAAAAAGAAAUUCUGUGGCAGGAUGCUUUGAUUCUGACUAAAUCAAGUCUUCGGGCAAAUUUCCUCCUGCCAGUGGAAGCACAGCUUGCCUGAAGUCGUAACCUUUGUUGGAGGAAAGGAACUGGCCUUGAAGCAGAUCAGGAAGCAGAUGUUUUAUGCCAAAUCAGAGUCUGGGGAUACGCAGGCUACUGCAAAUAAAACUCUUCUUCUGUCUGUUCAAUCAUUUCAAUUCCCUGCAGUGUGAAAUAUGAACUUGCCAACAAAUGGCCAGCGUGCUGUGCCUCGCAGCAGGGGGGGAAAGUGCCACAGCUGUGCCAGGGCCUGGAAGACUCGCGACGCGCGUGACAUGUUCAUUAUUUCUCCUGUUCAGCGGGGCCUGAACCCGGCUGCUCUCCAGAACCCAGAUGCGGGCCGGGAGCCGGGACCACCAACAGCACCCAAGGGUGAAAGACACGAUCCCACCAGAGUGAGACACACAGCUUGUCCUGAUCUCUCGGGCGACCCCAGGAGGUUAGUCUUGAAAACGAGAACCCUGAAAGUUGGUCAUCCCUAGGCACAAACAGACUGAAUGAAAAAACACAUCUGCCAAUGAGCCCAGCUUUUCUGACUUCACUAUUAGCAGCCUGCUCUGUGAGCACUCAGAAAGUGAAGAAAAUGAAAUGUACUCGAGCCACAAAGCACCUAUGAGAGAUUGAAAUGGCCCAGUGAAGAACUUAUCAGAAAGAUAUCUUGUCUUUAUAAGAAAGAUGGAAUUGCAGAAACUGUCCGGCUCACUUGUCACAGGCAAAUGGAACACGAGUUCCUUCUAGUUGAUUCCACAUUACAGUUUCUUGAUAAUAAAGUAGUUACUUUAUCUAAAUUAAAGUGGAAUUAGACUAACACGUUUCAGCAUGCGGUCCUUUGUAGCAUGUUGAACAUGCGUGUUCACACACACACCCUCACAGCUGUAAUCCUAGGUUAUAAACAUCCCAUGUUCAGUUCCAUUGUGAGAUUUUUUCAAAGGUUAUUCACAUGCUUUCUAGGGCCACAUUCUUUCAAGUUUUAAUCACAGGCUCCUUAAAUAGAAGUCAUUUGCAUCUGCAAACAUUCGCCUGGAAUAGUAUUUAGCAGUAUAUUCUCUUUGCACAGAGCUAUUUUAAAAGGAAAAUAAACCUGAAUACGGAAUAACAAUCAAACACAGGCAUAAAAAGAUAAAUCAGAGGCUUGAGAAACUUCUGUAACCCUUCAUGCAAUUUCUGAAAAAAUGUUUGAAGUUUCUCAAUCUUGAAACAGCCCAGAAUCAUAUAGUUUAUUUUGGAUGAUGGAUUAUAGGAAUACUCAUACAAUCCCAAGCAUGAUCUAAAUCAUAGGGACAUUUUUCAAGAAAUGAAAUGAGUUUGAAAUAAUUUAUUAUUUUGAAGGGAGGCCAAGUAAGUACACGUGGUUCAAGCUCAGAACGACAGACCAUUAUCACAACUAAUGGCCAAGUUCUCAUUAGGUUCGCAUUUCUAAAUGAAUGCUGUGGUCAAUAAAUCUGUCGCAGAACGGCCACAAAUGAUUGCUUUAAGGGAUUAAUAACAAGACUUGUAUUUUUAUUUUAGGAUUCUUUUGGCAGCAAUUACUCUAGAAUAUUAUUUCCCCAUAAUG
This is a long non-coding RNA of Camelus dromedarius (Arabian camel), 2225 nucleotides long. RefSeq lists it as uncharacterized. Lineage: Eukaryota; Metazoa; Chordata; Mammalia; Artiodactyla; Camelidae. The transcript is spliced from 7 exons. The record is from RefSeq and is a predicted model, not a curated record.